This 253-nucleotide ribosomal RNA is filed under the name uncultured bacterium. RNAcentral's name for it is "partial 16S ribosomal RNA". It matches the Rfam family "Bacterial small subunit ribosomal RNA", at positions 524 to 776 of the family's 1533-position model. The record is from RNAcentral.
UACGGAGGGUGCAAGCGUUAUCCGGAUUUACUGGGUUUAAAGGGUGCGUAGGUGGGUUGGUAAGUCAGUGGUGAAAUCUUCGAGCUUAACUCGGAAACUGCCAUUGAUACUAUUAAUCUUGAAUUAUCUGGAGGUAAGCGGAAUAUGUCAUGUAGCGGUGAAAUGCUUAGAUAUGACAUAGAACACCCAUUGCGAAGGCAGCUUACUACGGAUACAUUGACACUGAGGCACGAAAGCGUGGGGAUCAAACAGG